This 431-nucleotide ribosomal RNA is filed under the name uncultured bacterium. RNAcentral describes it as "partial 16S ribosomal RNA". It matches the Rfam family "Bacterial small subunit ribosomal RNA", at positions 338 to 795 of the family's 1533-position model. The record is from RNAcentral.
CCUACGGGUGGCAGCAGUGAGGAAUUUUGGACAAUGGGGGAAACCCUGAUCCAGCCAUGCCGCGUGAGUGAUGAAGGCCUUCGGGUUGUAAAGCUCUUUCAGAUGUGAGGCGGUAGCAUCAGAAGAAGCUCCGGCUAACUCCGUGCCAGCAGCCGCGGUAAUACGGAGGGAGCGAGCGUUGUUCGGAAUUACUGGGCGUAAAGCGUAUGUAGGCGGCUUCGUAAGACAGGUGUGAAAUCCCAGAGCUUAACUUUGGAACUGCACUUGUGACUGCAAGGCUUGAGUAUCGGAGAGGUUGGCGGAAUUCCCAGUGUAGCAGUGAAAUGCGCAGAUAUUGGGAGGAACACCGAUGGCGUAAGCAGCCAACUGAGAUUACUGACGCUGAGAUACGAAAGCGUGGGGAGCAAACAGGAUUAGAUACCCCAGUAGUC